CCUACGGGAGGCAGCAGUGAGGAAUAUUGGUCAAUGGACGAGAGUCUGAACCAGCCAAGUAGCGUGAAGGAUGACUGCCCUAUGGUUUUAAACUUCUUUUAUAUGGGAAUUAAAUUUUCCACGGGUGGGGUUUUGUAUGUACCAUAUGAAUAAGGAUCGGCUAACUCCGUGCCAGCAGCCGCGGGAAUACGGGGGAUCCGAGCGUUAUCCGGAUUUAUUGGGUUUAAAGGGAGCGUAGGUGGAUUGUUAAGUCAGUUGUGAAAGUUUGCGGCUCAACCGUAAAAUUGCAGUUGAAACUGGCAGUCGUGAGUACAGUAGAGGUGGGCGGAAUUCGUGGUGUAGCGGUGAAAUGCUUAGAUAUCACGAAGAACUCCGAUUGCGAAGGCAGUUCACUGGACUGCAACUGACACUGAGGCUCGAAAGUGUGGGUAUCAAACAGGAUUAGAUACCCGAGUAGUC
RNAcentral lists this ribosomal RNA (459 nucleotides) under uncultured bacterium. RNAcentral describes it as "partial 16S ribosomal RNA". It matches the Rfam family "Bacterial small subunit ribosomal RNA", at positions 338 to 795 of the family's 1533-position model. The record is from RNAcentral.